Molecule: ribosomal RNA, 171 nt
Filed under: Paenibacillus sp. EKM205P
Lineage: Bacteria; Bacillati; Bacillota; Bacilli; Caryophanales; Paenibacillaceae
Description: partial 16S ribosomal RNA
Rfam family: Bacterial small subunit ribosomal RNA
Source: RNAcentral
UUUAAUGGAGAGUUUGAUCCUGGCUCAGGACGAACGCUGGCGGCGUGCCUAAUACAUGCAAGUCGAGCGGGGUUGUUUAGAAGCUUGCUUCUAAAUAACCUAGCGGCGGACGGGUGAGUAACACGUAGGCAACCUGCCCACAAGACAGGGAUAACUACCGGAAACGGUAGC